CGGAGAAUUAGGGUUCGAUUCCGGAGAGGGAGCCUGAGAAACGGCUACCACAUCUACGGAAGGCAGCAGGCGCGAAAAUUGCCCAAUCCUGAUUCAGGGAGGCAGUGACAAGAAAUAACAACUCUCAACAUUGUUGAGAAGUGUAAUGAGGAUAAUUUACAAACCUUACCGAAAGCAAUUGGAGGGCAAGUCUGGUGCCAGCAGCCGCGGUAAUUCCAGCUCCAAAAGCGUAUAUUAAAGUUGUUGCAGUUAAAAAGCUCGUAGUUGAAGUUCUGGCUGUAUUGGGCCUCUGCACUUGAUGCGAAGGAACCAGCAGUCAUCCGCUUGCAAAUACAUGUUCUUCCUUAACCGGUAGACUGUAUAAGUAAGCAAUUUACCUUGAGAAAAAACAGAGUGUUCCAGGCAGGUUUGUCCGGAAUGCAUUAGCAUGGAAUAAUAGAAUAUGACUAGAGUCGAUUUGUUGGUUAAAGGCUUUAGUAAUGAUUAAUAGGACAAUCGGGGCAUUGGUACUCGUCAGUC
This 519-nucleotide ribosomal RNA is filed under the name uncultured eukaryote. RNAcentral's name for it is "SSU rRNA". It matches the Rfam family "Eukaryotic small subunit ribosomal RNA", at positions 363 to 906 of the family's 1831-position model. The record is from RNAcentral.